CGCCCCUCUGCCACAAGGCUAGUCUGUCAGGUCAGCCAAAUCCACUGAAGCCAUACUGGAAGAACCUUGUGACCCUCUCACAAGAGCAGCUCCCACAGCGCCCAGUGCCUGGCAUGUGCUCCACAGACACACGAAGAAAUGAAGGCGGGUACAGGAGAGGAAGGGGACAAGAGGACAGAGGAAGGUCAGAAUGGCCUGCUUCACCAAUUGCCCCCUGCCCUGCCAUCCACCGCCAACUCCAGGCCCCACGAUGGCCCACCAGGGCACCAGACCAUGUGCAAGGUGGGCAGCAGGCUGGGUUUCAGGCAGAGCGGAGGCCCGCUGGGCUCCUCGAGGUCUGGCCUCGCCUCAGGCCUCCGCCCAGGUGGGAAGCACUCCUGCAGCCAUUGCAUCUGCACGGCCAUAAUUGAGCCUCUCUCUCUAGAGUGAUUUGUGUGUCAAAAAUACGCCAAGACUGUAAAUCAGGUGGUAGGAAGCUCUGUCUCCUGUUUUGCUGCUCAACCAAAGGGAGACAGACUGUACUGCCACGGGCUCCCAGAUCUGGAAAACCACAUCUGAUUUCAGAGGAGGUUUUUAACAGGCAUUAACAGGGGCCAGUGCUGGGGAGCAGGGCUCCCAGCUCUCCCUCCCUGGCCCAGCCACCUCCUCCCAGCUGGGGGGCUUAGCCGGCGGGGGACCUGAAAGCCAGGUGCCUAACAAACCCUGGUGUUCAAUAGCAGCUGCUCCAGCUCCUCCCCAGGAGGCUCCGGAGGGGAAUUUUCCACUGCCCAGUUCCAUUUAGCUCUGCCUGCCUGUGCUGCUGCCUUGACUCUUCCCAGUGAGAGCAGGAAGGUGGGGACCGGCACAGAGUCUCCCCAUCCAAAGGGGCUGCCACCGGCCAGAGGUGUCCGUGGGAGGCGGGUGGGACAGAGGAGUAGGUGUUGUUUGUUUCCUGUGCCCUGGCCCUACCUCACUAUUCUCUGAACCUGGAACGCUGGGUGUGUGGAGGUGCUGUGAGUGGGAACCAGGCCACCUUUUGAGUAGGGAGGAGAGAAUCAAGGCCCUGGUUGCAGGGAGUGGGGACAGAAGGCGAUAAGUCUCCCCCUCCCCGUGUCCCUCCCUUUCUCAGGAUGUCUGAGAGAUGCCCAGCGUGGGUGGGUGCUCCCUCCCCCCUGCCUCCGCUCCUCCUCCUCCCCGGAACUGCCGCCUCCUCCGCCUGAGUGGCUGAUGCCCUCUGGGUUCUGUUUUCAUUCCAGGCUGUGGAUCCGGUCGUGGGAAGCAGAUAUUUGAAGUGUUUCAUGAUCACGAUAAGAAUUACCGCCACCCACAGUAUCCAUCGCAGUGGGCAGAGCCCGUGGCAGUGAGCAUGCAGCUUGGCUCCCCAGCUCUGGUCCCAUCUCUACUGCUCUGGAGCUAUGGCACUUGGAAAAGUUUCUUCGCUUCUCAAGCCUCAGUGUCCUCAUCUGUAAAAUAAGGAUAAUAAUAGGACUUUCCUUAGAGUAUUUUUGUGAGGCUUACAUGAGUUAAAAUGUAAGGUGCUUAGUGUAAUGCUGGGCACACAACGAGUACAACAUAAGCAUCAGAUUUUUCUUCCUAUUUCUCAACCUGUGACACUCAGCUGUCAUCUCUGUGAAACUUUCCAGGACACUGUCCCCAUGUCUAAUCCAUCUAUCAAGACUGGGCCAAGGAGAACUGGGCGCUCCAUCCUGACUUCCACCUUGCUUAAUUGUGUAGCAUAACUAUUUGUCUGUCUGUCUGCCUGACUAUACUGCUCUCUUAUUUAUCUUUGUGUCCCUGAUGUCUGGCAAUGAUAGGAAUGUAAGAAUCAUUGUGGAUGACUGAAAGAACAAACAAAAAAAUGAACAAGUGAACGUCCCUCCUGUCUCCAGUGCAUCCACUAGUGUUUUCUCCCAUCCCCCCUCCUCUUUCCAGGCGCCCUGGACUAUUAGACUGGCUUAAGUCCCUCCAAUCACAGAAGAAAUACUUGACCAAGAGUCAUUACUCUAAACAAACACUCUUUCGGGGUUGUAAAAGAAACCCAUAUGUAGAAGGCAAGGUUAACACAAAGGAAAGAGUCUCUAAUGGUAGAAUCUAAGAUUCUAAGGCACGCACGUGUGCACACGCACACACACCAUCUAUCUCUGCUCAGAGGGAUUAUCUCAGCAAGUGAGACAUAUUGGAAGGUAAUGUGGGAACAGAGCUCUCAGGGAAAAAGUUGUGAAUGUUCUUUGAAGAGUUGUGCGUGAGUCACAUUUUUAAAAAACACAAAUCAUAUUCCUAGUGAAUAAAAGAAUGUUUUUAAUUUACUGGAGGACCUGGCUAGUUAAAUCUUAUUGUGAACUCUUUAUUAAAGACUGAAGUAAGGAAUUCUUUUGUUAAGUAAAUAUUCAGGCCCUUCCUUGCCAAAGAGCUUUUGAAAUCUUUGCUGUAAUUAUGCUGAUGUUUUCUGUGUUUAUAUGUUAAAUGCCUAGAGCUUAAUUGUUAAUGGGUAAAUAAGAGGAGCCACACGGUCCUUGCCAAGAGAGGCCCAAGAACCAGGGCUGUAAGAACAAUGGUUCCGCGGGGCUCCCCUGGAGGGGGUGAAAGGCAGUAGGGUAAGCCAGCGGCUUGGGCUCUUCUCUGUAGGCACG
This 2609-nucleotide long non-coding RNA is filed under the name Equus caballus (horse). RNAcentral's name for it is "lncRNA (ENSECAG00000043272.2)". The record is from RNAcentral. Lineage: Eukaryota; Metazoa; Chordata; Mammalia; Perissodactyla; Equidae.